GCGGGUGUAGUUUAGUGGUAAAACCACAGCCUUCCAAGCUGUUGUCGCGAGUUCGAUU
RNAcentral lists this transfer RNA (58 nucleotides) under Ligilactobacillus salivarius. RNAcentral describes it as "Lactobacillus salivarius tRNA-Gly". It matches the Rfam family "tRNA", at positions 1 to 58 of the family's 71-position model. Rfam says of the family: Transfer RNA (tRNA) molecules are approximately 80 nucleotides in length. Their secondary structure includes four short double-helical elements and three loops (D, anti-codon, and T loops). The record is from RNAcentral. Lineage: Bacteria; Bacillati; Bacillota; Bacilli; Lactobacillales; Lactobacillaceae.